Molecule: microRNA, 23 nt
Filed under: Pan troglodytes (chimpanzee)
Lineage: Eukaryota; Metazoa; Chordata; Mammalia; Primates; Hominidae
Also listed under: 1 other name
Description: ptr-miR-557
Gene: ptr-miR-557
Source: miRBase by way of RNAcentral
GUUUGCACGGGUGGGCCUUGUCU